RNAcentral lists this ribosomal RNA (570 nucleotides) under Triticum aestivum (bread wheat). RNAcentral describes it as "partial small subunit ribosomal RNA". Lineage: Eukaryota; Viridiplantae; Streptophyta; Magnoliopsida; Poales; Poaceae. The record is from RNAcentral.
AUGGCCACUACCUCAUGCAUGGACCUUUUACAUGUGAGACAUGGCCACUACCUCAUGCAUGGACCUUGUGUAUACUCAGGCACAGCCGAGAGCCGAGACGACCAUGGAGAAUCAAAGGACCAAGGUCAAGCAUGGAAGAGGAGAAGGAAGAAGAGAACGAGCAACUCAGGAGCUGCCCGGAUGAUCUGGACCGACACGCGACAUGAGGACAUCAAGCCCCAGGCCGAAGCCGGAUCAUUCGGACCAACACCCCGACAAUCUGGAACCACCCAGAUCAUCCGGACGCCAACCCGGACAUCCGGGCCACCCGCGACUGCUACGACACAUCCGAAUGAUCCGGACGGUCGCCCGGAUCAUCCGGACCACGCCUACGUGUAUGACUUGGGCCGAGGCCCAUGUACCCCUUCGCCCCCUAGUCUAUAUAUACUCCUCCAUCAUUUUAGGAUUAGCAUUGUAUUAGUUCAUUUGUAUGUGAGCUUUGCUCCUAUCUACUCUACUCUUUUGAGAGAGAGAGAGAGAGGGAGGGAGAGAGAGAGAACCCCACUCCAAAUCGUGAAAGAUCGGCCCUAG